GUGCUGGCUUUGGCAGUGCAUAUACUAAAAUUGGAAUGAUACAGAGAAGCUUAGGAUGGCCCCUGUGCAAGGAUGACAUGUAAAUCCGUGAAGCCUUUCAAAAUUUU
Small nuclear RNA from Ictidomys tridecemlineatus (thirteen-lined ground squirrel), 107 nucleotides. The record is from Ensembl. Lineage: Eukaryota; Metazoa; Chordata; Mammalia; Rodentia; Sciuridae.